UUCAGGUGCAAGUGACAAGAACUGAGCUCAGACUGGCUUAAGAAAAAAGGGAAGGAAGAAGGGAAGGAGGGGCUUUGGGUCCAGCUGGAUCCGGAGUUUCAGAUGACAUCAUCAGGACAACUAUCUCACUCCCAUCUCUCAGCUCUAGCUGCCUAUGCUUAACUUUGAUCUUACAGAUUUUCUUCAUAUGGCUUCAAGAUGGUCCCUAGUAGCUUCUCUGACUACAUAGUAGGACCUCCAGACCAAGUGUGACCUCUUACCUUAAGCUCAGUUCUGAUUGGUCCAGCGCUGGGCCAAUCACUGUGUGUGUGUGUCUGUGUGUGUGUGUGUGAGAGAGAGAGAGAGAGGAGAGACUGGGGUGGGACAAUUUCAAAGGUCAGAGUGACUGCCCCCUCCUAGGGUGGGCGAAGUGGGUCACAUGGCAAUGACAUCCAGUGGAGAGACCUGUGUGGAAGGAAGGGAGAGCAGUUUGGGAAGGAAAGGAGGAGAGGCAGGGAGCUGCCUGAGAACACUGCACUGAUGCCCAGAGCCCCUCAAUAAAAAGGGAAAGCAGAACAUCAUCGUGAUAAACCUGGCUCACAGGUGACAAGGGGCUGUUCUAAGUGACAUGAACUCAGUGACCCAGACAACUGAAGCAGAGGGGAUGAAGCUCACUGGGUCCUCAACAGUUUCUACUUUACCACAAUCCAUGCGGGUGCAUCAUAAAGAGGGAAGACUGAUGACCAAGUGGUUCUGGACAAAUCAAGCUUAUCUUUUCCUAGCCUCUGUUCCUGGGGAGGAAAACGUCCUGCAAGAAUCAUCAAGCUACACCACCACAAACAACCCAGUAAAUCAGGGUGAGUGCCUGCCCAGGGCUCCAGAGCCAACACAAAUGAACAUCUGCACUUUGAUGACUCCCAUCCUGAAGAUCCAUGUCGGCCAGGGGUGAUGCUGACAUUAGCUGCUUCUUUUUCCAUGAUCAAGUAUGUUUGGUGAUCAAAUAAGUUUGUCGCCUGGGCAAUAGAGUGAGACACCGUCACUACAAAUAAUACAAAAAUCAGCCAUGGGUGGUGGAGUGCACCUGUAGUCCCAGUUAAUUGGGAGGAUGAGGCAGGAGGAGCACUGGAGCCCAAGAAGCAGAGGUUGCAGUGAGCUUAGCCUGUCUCAAAAAAAAAAAAAAAAAAGUGAGGGAAAUACUGGGUUAACCAAUGACAAAUAAGUAUAUCUAUUGCUGGAAUUAUCAAAAAUGUAAUGUGUACUGGGAGUCUUCAGAGGAUGAAUAAGAGAUGACACAUUUUCCGAAUGUAUUUAACCAUCAAAUGUUCUUAGUAAGAAGCAUUUCCCUAGAAGAGUGUCCUCAGAAUGCACUUAGAAAAGCCCAAUGUAGACACCUGUUCAACUCAGUAAUUUAAUAUGGCGGCCAACACAUUGCAGGCCGUCAACACGAUAUUCAUAGUGUUCCAGGAACCACGUAUUUUGUGCACCGAUAAUCCCAGUCUCUUUCCGACUCCACUCUCCAGGUCCCCCAUUCUAUAAUGCCAGUUUGGUCUUGAUCUUUUGGUAUAGGGAAAGGAAAGGAGAGGGUCCUAGGAAGGAAGAAACUGGUGGGAUUUUCCAUGGGAAGGUUUGAGAACUACUGCUACAUUAACAGGAAGAGAGCAAGCAAGAGGGUGUCCCCGGGGAAUGGGAGAGAAGAGUGUGAGAACUAAAAUGUGAGAUCCAGAGAGAAGGACGAAGAAGAAAGGUGGGAAGAGGCUGAGCUGGGUGUGGGAUGGCAUCUUCCUCUGGUCUAUCUGAGCAGCUUCAGUGGAGGCUUAGUCUGUCCUUUGCUUUCCUCUUUGGCUGCUGUGUAUUUCAUUUCUGAGUCAGACGGUGUGCCAUGGCUGGCUUCACGGUGCCAGCGAACCAACCUGACUUAACGCAGGUUCGUGGGUGGUAAUGUCAACUGUUUGCCAUAUUUUUGUCGUUAUCUACCCUUAGAUCUUGUUUGCUAUCCCUGGGAGGGAAUGUUGAAAUUGGAACCAUAGCACUUGGGUAUAUCAGGUUGGAAGAGACAGUUUCACCAGAUGGCUGGUCACCUUGAUUGAGUCAAAUGCCACCGGAAGACCCAGAAUCUCUAAACCAUAGUGAAGAAUUAGCCAAGGGAAGCAAAACCCAACCAAUUCAAGGGGUUCCCCUUUCCAGGGUCGUGGACCGCAAGGUGAGUGUGUGUUUCUAGCAGGUAAAGCUGACAUGUGGCGCCCAGGAGGUCUUCUCUGCUCAACUUGAAGAAAUCCAAUGAGUGCGUCUUGUUUCCUGCUUAUAAUUUCCACUUAAACCACCUCUGCAGUUGACCUCAAGGCCUGCUGUGAUAUCAAUCUCCAAAGCACAAAGGGAAUCAUUUUGCACUUUUUUUCUUCAAGGGACUUACAAGUCAAGGAUCUGAUAAGCACGGUUGAUGAUUAAACCUAAUAAGCUGGCAGCCGGGAGCUUUGAUUUGUUUCCACAAAGGCUCUUUGAGCUUGGUUGAAAACCAGAAUCAUUGGUUUUUGUUUGUCUCAGGCUUUUCUGUUGAAGACCUUGAUUUAAGUCUUAAAAGCACUGAUUUUCUUUCUUUCUUUUUUUUUUUAAACCAGAAAGUUCUUUAGGUUGAGAGGGCUGUCCUUGGUGUAGCCUGCUGAGGGGUCUCAAUGGAACCUUCUGUGAUCACUAGCCACCUUGGGGAGCUCCUGGGUGAUGGCGCCAGCCAAGGACAUUUGGGGAAAUGGUUUAUGUAUGAUGUAACUUUCGAUACUUUUAUUAUUUCCUUAUUGUGAAAUUAGAAUAGGUUAAAAAAAUAAAAGGGUGCAGGAGAGGAAGAGGAACCUUGAGGUGAAGGCACAGUCAGUUUUACCUUUCGAUUUGGGUCACUGGGCAAGACUGGCACAGCCGUGUGCAUACUAAACAGCCAGCGUUGGCUUCUCUGAUUCUUCUCUCAUUAUUUAUUCAUUUGUUCAUUCACUUUGCAGAGGUACCUGGUGCCAGGUUCAGCACCAGCUCAGAGACUUAUUUGGGACCUUCUGGAGUCACCUUCAUGGGCUACCAGCCCCAACCCCAGAGACUGACUCAACCAGCCCAGAUGCUUUCCAGACACAAACCCUAACUUUCUUCCGUGAUUUAGACAUGGCUGGGGGAAAAAAAUCAACCCAUAUAAAAAUAUUUUAUUGUGGAAAACAAGAGUUCCCUGCCCUGGCCACCCCACUCCAGGCUAGCUUCACAGAAAUCACUGUUGUAAGUGAAAUCUUGUAACUAUUUCUGCUUUUAGUUCUAAUGGCAAUCCACCCCAGGUUGCUAAGUAAUGUAUGUAUACCGCUUCAAAAAUACUCAUUUUUGGCAUUAUCGGUAGAGUUCUGCCAUGAGAAGUGAAGGUUGGUUUCCUCCUCCCUCCUGCUAAUACAGCACUGAGGCUGUCACUGUUUUGGUCUCUUAGCGGGCUGUUUUAUCAGUUUAAAUAAUAAGCCUUUAUUUGAAGCUUCUUAAACAGUGUCUCUUAGACCCUCAGGUUGAAAGAGAAUAAUGAUCGUGCCCCUGGCUCCCCACUGUCCUCACCCCAGGGUGCAGGCUGACUGGGGCCCCAGGUCAGCACUCCCUGGUCCCCUCUGUAGAAACCAGACAUUUCCCCUCACCUAAAGAAGCCAAUUUAGUGCCAAUCACAUACUGAACUACUGAUCUUCAGAACCCCUGGCCUUUGGCGUUUGGAAAGACCUGGAAUAUGCCUCUUUAGCAGAUGACUGUGAUACAGGUGGUCUGAGAAUGUGCUGUGAAUCCUAUAAAACAGGGGACAUGAGAUGGUGGGUCUGGUCUGUGCAGUGGCAGCGUGAACACAGAAAGCUGAAAUGGAGGAACAGUUUUGCAGCCAAGAGACAUUACAGCUCAAAGGUAUCAGCGGAGGCUAGAAUUCAUCCCUUCAACAAAUAUUGACUGAGCAAGCUCUUACUGUGUGUAAUGCCUUUUUUAGUAUAGUUUUUGCACCCUCCCAGCCCUUUUCAGGUGCUUUGACAGAUUUCUAACUCCAGGGGUAUUUAUUCAGUGUAUUGUUUCAAGAAAAGGAAGGUCUUUGCAAACAGGUGCAACAUGCCGCAGCCUGCCCAGGCAGAGGCUCGCGAGCAUGUCUGGUAAAGAAGCAAAAAUCGGGGGGACAUUUGUUUCUUUCUGAUUUUCGUGUAGAGAUGGGGAACAAAUAGAGUUAGUGCCAUUCUAAGUUCUUUGUGUUUGUUUGGUUAAAAUAGGCUCAAUUCCUUCCCUCCCUCCUUCCUUCUUCCUUUCCUCUUUCCUUCCUGUCUUCCUUCUUCCUUCCUUCCCUCCUUCCUUCCCUCCUUUCUUCCUUUCCUUUCAUCCUUUAUUCCUCUCUCCCCUCCUCUCCUUCUCUCUCCCUCUCUCCCUUCCUUCCCUUCGUAUCCCCUCCCUCCCUUCCAUUCCUUGGUCUCUCCCUCCUCCCUCCCUCCAUUCCUUCUCCCUUUCCUUCUCCCUCUCUCCUUCCAUCCCUCCCUUCCCCCUUUUUUCUUACAUCAAUCCUUAUUUCUAAGUAAAAGACCCAGAAAACAAAAAAAUAUUAAUUUCAAUAACCUUAUAGGCACCCCUUCAAUGUGCUCAAUAAAUAAGCAGAUCAUCAUUUGAUUUUUCUAAGAUACAUAGACUUUGUAUUGUGGAAAAACAAAUCCAAGGGCAAAGAGAAUGCCUACUGUGGGUCAGUGUUUUGUGGCAACAUCUCAUUUAAUCGUUACAGCAAGCCUCCCAGGGAGGUGCCAUUACUAUUGUUUGUUUAGAGUUGGGAACCAGAGUCCAGAAGGGGUUAAUCAGCCUGAGGUCCUUUGGUGCCUAGAUGGCAGAAGCAGAUUUGAACUCCUGGGCUCGAUACUACAGGCAGCUGCCACUAAUUAAAAAUACCAAUCCACACCUUCUAACAAGAACGCAGGAUUGACGUGGCUGUGCAAAAUAUGCGGAUGAAGAGUUUGUGUAAGUCGUCCCACCCGGCAUUUUAGGUCACGUGACCUAAAUACAACGUGCCCAGUUAAACUGUCCUUGAAGAUGACUUGUCUACCCUGAGUUUGCGCCUGCUGCUAAAAUGUCCAUGGUACCAAUUAGGAAACGAUUUUAGUUAAAAAUUCCAGUUUUAGCAAAGAUGAAGAUGGAUACGCUUUCCAAUGAAGGGCUCAGAACGAAGUUCAGGGUCAUGCUCAUUCUCUCUUCCGAAGUUGUUCCAUUCUGAGGUUGGGUUUCUUGGAGCUGUUCCUGUUGUUCUGUGUCUUUUCGGCUUCAAAUUCUUUAAAUCUUCUCUUUAAUCUCUGAAAACAAAAGGUGAGCGUCCGUCUCUUUGCUUCUCAGCAUGUGCCCAACCAAUCACCGCGACUAAGACGAGCCGCUCGCCCAGGCUGUGCGUGAGGAAGCCAGGCUCGCUGGUGGUGCUCUGGGCUUUGGGCUGGACGGUUCCUCUUUUCAGCUGCUUCCUAGGUGCUGGGAUCGGAGGCAGCGAUGGGGGCACAGAAAGCUGCCCCUAGGAGCCAGGUUCUUCUCUACCUCGACAAUGAGUGAAGCCAAUCUUUCUAGUUCCAAAGGCCAAGCU
This is an RNA transcript of Callithrix jacchus (white-tufted-ear marmoset), 5560 nucleotides long. RefSeq lists it as uncharacterized. The record is from RefSeq and is a predicted model, not a curated record. Lineage: Eukaryota; Metazoa; Chordata; Mammalia; Primates; Cebidae.